This 496-nucleotide ribosomal RNA is filed under the name uncultured bacterium. RNAcentral's name for it is "partial 16S ribosomal RNA". It matches the Rfam family "Bacterial small subunit ribosomal RNA", at positions 28 to 506 of the family's 1533-position model. The record is from RNAcentral.
GAUGAACGCUGGCGGCGUGCCUAAUACAUGCAAGUCGAGCGAACAGACGAGGAGCUUGCUCCUCUGACGUUAGCGGCGGACGGGUGAGUAACACGUGGAUAACCUACCUAUAAGACUGGGAUAACUUCGGGAAACCGGAGCUAAUACCGGAUAAUAUAUUGAACCGCAUGGUUCAAUAGUGAAAGACGGUUUUGCUGUCACUUAUAGAUGGAUCCGCGCCGCAUUAGCUAGUUGGUAAGGUAACGGCUUACCAAGGCGACGAUGCGUAGCCGACCUGAGAGGGUGAUCGGCCACACUGGAACUGAGACACGGUCCAGACGCCUACGGGAGGCAGCAGUAGGGAAUCUGCCGCAAUGGGCGAAAGCCUGACGGAGCAACGCCGCGGGAGUGAUGAAGGUCUUCGGAUCGUAAAACUCUGUUAUUAGGGAAGAACAAAUGUGUAAGUAACUAUGCACGUCUUGACGGUACCUAAGCAGAAAGCCACGGCUAACUACGU